This 889-nucleotide small RNA is filed under the name Pan troglodytes (chimpanzee). RNAcentral's name for it is "processed transcript". The record is from RNAcentral. Lineage: Eukaryota; Metazoa; Chordata; Mammalia; Primates; Hominidae.
UCCGGCACCAACAGCAGCGCCGCUGCCACCGCCCACCUUCUGCCGCCGCCACCACAGCCACCUUCUCCUCCUCCGCUGUCCUCUCCCGUCCUCGCCUCUGUCGACUAUCAGGUGAGCUUUGAACCAGGAUGGCUGAGCCCCGCCAGGAGUUCGAAGUGAUGGAAGAUCACGCUGGGACGUACGGGUUGGGGGACAGGAAAGAUCAGGGGGGCUACACCAUGCACCAAGACCAAGAGGGUGACACGGACGCUGGCCUGAAAGCUGAAGAAGCAGGCAUUGGAGACACCCCCAGCCUGGAAGACGAAGCUGCUGGUCACGUGACCCAAGCUCGCAUGGUCAGUAAAAGCAAAGACGGGACUGGAAGCGAUGACAAAAAAGCCAAGGGGGCUGAUGGUAAAACGAAGAUCGCCACACCGCGGGGAGCAGCCCCUCCAGGCCAGAAGGGCCAGGCCAACGCCACCAGGAUUCCAGCAAAAACCCCGCCCGCUCCAAAGACACCACCCAGCUCUGGUGAACCUCCAAAAUCAGGGGAUCGCAGCGGCUACAGCAGCCCCGGCUCCCCAGGCACUCCCGGCAGCCGCUCCCGCACCCCGUCCCUUCCAACCCCACCCACCCGGGAGCCCAAGAAGGUGGCGGUGGUCCGUACUCCACCCAAGUCGCCGUCUUCCGCCAAGAGCCGCCUGCAGACAGCCCCCGUGCCCAUGCCAGACCUGAAGAACGUCAAGUCCAAGAUCGGCUCCACUGAGAACCUGAAGCACCAGCCGGGAGGCGGGAAGGAGGUGGCCAGGUGGAAGUAAAAUCUGAGAAGCUUGACUUCAAGGACAGAGUCCAGUCGAAGAUUGGGUCCCUGGACAAUAUCACCCACGUCCCUGGCGGAGGAAAUAAAAAG